Molecule: ribosomal RNA, 219 nt
Filed under: uncultured bacterium
Lineage: Bacteria
Description: partial 16S ribosomal RNA
Rfam family: Bacterial small subunit ribosomal RNA
Source: RNAcentral
UAAUGUAUGGGGAUCUGCCCGAUAGAGGGGGAUAACUACUGGAAACGGUGGCUAAUACCGCAUAAUGUCUACGGACCAAAGCAGGGGCUCUUCGGACCUUGCACUAUCGGAUGAACCCACAUGGGAUUAGCUAGUAGUGGGGUAAAGGCUCACCUAGGCGACGAUCUCUAGCUGGUCUGAGAGGAUGAUCAGCCACACUGGGACUGAGACACGGCCCAG